Molecule: ribosomal RNA, 346 nt
Filed under: uncultured Lentisphaerota bacterium
Lineage: Bacteria; Pseudomonadati; Lentisphaerota
Description: bacterial SSU rRNA
Rfam family: Bacterial small subunit ribosomal RNA
Source: RNAcentral
AACGAACGCUGGCAGCGUGGAUGAGGCAUGCAAGUCGAACGAGAAUUCCGGGUGUAGCAAUACAUCUGGGAGGACAGUGGCGAAAGGGUGCGUAACACGUGGGCAAUCUGCCUCCGAGUUGGGGAUAACUCCGCGAAAGCGGUGCUAAUACCGAAUGUGGUCUUCCUGGCGCAUGUUGGGGAGAUCAAAGGCGGGGAACCGUAAGGUCCUGUCGCUUGGAGAGGAGCUCGCGUCCUAUCAGCUUGUUGGUGAGGUAACGGCUCACCAAGGCUUACGGGUAGCUGGUCUGAGAGGAUGGUCAGCCACACUGGGACUGAGACACUGCCCAGACUCCUACGGGUGGCUG